RNAcentral lists this ribosomal RNA (659 nucleotides) under Nocardioides marinus. RNAcentral describes it as "bacterial SSU rRNA". It matches the Rfam family "Bacterial small subunit ribosomal RNA", at positions 90 to 762 of the family's 1533-position model. Lineage: Bacteria; Bacillati; Actinomycetota; Actinomycetes; Propionibacteriales; Nocardioidaceae. The record is from RNAcentral.
CUCGAGCGGCGAACGGGUGAGUAACACGUGAGUAAUCUGCCUCUGGCUUCGGGAUAGCCACCGGAAACGGUGAUUAAUACCGGAUACGACACGCUCUUGCAUGAGAUGUGUGUGGAAAGUUUUUUCGGCCAGGGAUGUGCUCGCGGCCUAUCAGCUUGUUGGUGGGGUAAUGGCCUACCAAGGCUUCGACGGGUAGCCGGCCUGAGAGGGUGACCGGCCACACUGGGACUGAGACACGGCCCAGACUCCUACGGGAGGCAGCAGUGGGGAAUAUUGGACAAUGGGCGGAAGCCUGAUCCAGCAACGCCGCGUGAGGGAUGACGGCCUUCGGGUUGUAAACCUCUUUCAGCACAGACGAAGCGCAAGUGACGGUAUGUGCAGAAGAAGGACCGGCCAACUACGUGCCAGCAGCCGCGGUAAUACGUAGGGUCCGAGCGUUGUCCGGAAUUAUUGGGCGUAAAGGGCUCGUAGGCGGUUUGUCGCGUCGGGAGUGAAAACACCGGGCUUAACUCGGUGCUUGCUUUCGAUACGGGCAGACUAGAGGCAUUCAGGGGAGAACGGAAUUCCUGGUGUAGCGGUGAAAUGCGCAGAUAUCAGGAGGAACACCGGUGGCGAAGGCGGUUCUCUGGGAAUGUCCUGACGCUGAGGAGCGAAAGUGU